CCCUUAGAUGUUCUGGGCCGCACGCGUGCUACACUGAACGGUUCAAUGGGUAAGGUAGUGCGAAAGCAUGACCUAAUCUCGAAAUCCGUUCGUGCUGGGGAUAGAAGCUUGCAAUUAUCCUUCUUGAACGAGGAAUACCUUGUAAGCGUGAGUCAUCAUCUCACGCUGAAUACGUCCCUGCCCUUUGUACACACCGCCCGUCGCCCCUACCGAUUGAGUGUUCCGGUGAGGCUUUGGGAGAAUGGCCUCAACAUGAGUUUAUCGUGUUUUGCCGUUUGAACUUAGUCAAACCUUAUCACUUAGAGGAAGGAGAAGUCGUAACA
This 323-nucleotide ribosomal RNA is filed under the name uncultured eukaryote. Its description in RNAcentral is "partial 18S ribosomal RNA". It matches the Rfam family "Eukaryotic small subunit ribosomal RNA", at positions 1470 to 1796 of the family's 1831-position model. The record is from RNAcentral.